Molecule: long non-coding RNA, 401 nt
Organism: Oncorhynchus masou masou (cherry salmon)
Lineage: Eukaryota; Metazoa; Chordata; Actinopteri; Salmoniformes; Salmonidae
Exons: 4
Source: RefSeq, a predicted model, not a curated record
AAUCCUCAGGAAGUUCCAGGAAGCCAAUCACAAGGUUCUGUUUGCCGCCGAUGGUCUGAUCUGGCCUGAUAAACGCCUACAGGAGAAAUACCCCUGUCCGCAGCGGCAAGCGCUUUCUCAACUCAGGAGGCAUCAUCGGUUACGCCCCGUAUGUGAACAAGAUUGUCGAGCAGUGGAACCUUCACGACAACGAUGACGAUCAGCUAUUCUACACCAAAAUAUACCUGGACUCUUUUCAGAGGGAGAAUUUGAACAUUGGUUUGGACCACAAGUCUCAGAUUUUCCAGAAUUUAAAUGGAGCAAUUGACGAGGUUCUCUUGAAGUUUGGAACGAAGAGUGCCCGAGUGAGAAACACUGUUUACGACACCCUGCCAGUGGUCAUCCAUGGCAACGCAAACACC